Long non-coding RNA from Tympanuchus pallidicinctus (lesser prairie-chicken), 267 nucleotides. RefSeq lists it as uncharacterized. The transcript has 3 exons. NCBI's taxonomy places the organism in Eukaryota, Metazoa, Chordata, Aves, Galliformes, Phasianidae. The record is from RefSeq and is a predicted model, not a curated record.
AGCCACUUCACAAGGAUUGCCUUGAGAUUGCCCAAACUUAGGAGGCAGCAUUUGCUUUUUGCUGCUGAAGACAUGAGAGUCUACAGGGAAGUGUCCAUAAUGGACUCCUUUUUAUGAAGCCUUCUCUGGCAAAAGGAAACUGCCAGUAAAUACCGCCAAGAAAGUUACCUGUUGUGGGUAAGGCGUUGUUCUGAGUUUUGCCUUCAUUUUGUUACUUUUGGGUUUUACUAUUUUCCUUGUUUCCUGCGAGGUAGAUACUGAGUUUCU